RNAcentral lists this ribosomal RNA (187 nucleotides) under Yarrowia lipolytica. RNAcentral's name for it is "partial 18S ribosomal RNA". It matches the Rfam family "Eukaryotic small subunit ribosomal RNA", at positions 1645 to 1831 of the family's 1831-position model. Lineage: Eukaryota; Fungi; Ascomycota; Dipodascomycetes; Dipodascales. The record is from RNAcentral.
UUAAGUCCCUGCCCUUUGUACACACCGCCCGUCGCUACUACCGAUUGAAUGGUUUAGUGAGACCUUGGGAGGGCGAGAUGAGGGGGGCAACCCCUUUUGAACAUCCAAACUUGGUCAAACUUGAUUAUUUAGAGGAAGUAAAAGUCGUAACAAGGUUUCAGUAGGUGAACCUGCGGCAGGAUCAUUA